This 468-nucleotide ribosomal RNA is filed under the name uncultured bacterium. Its description in RNAcentral is "partial 16S ribosomal RNA". It matches the Rfam family "Bacterial small subunit ribosomal RNA", at positions 28 to 507 of the family's 1533-position model. The record is from RNAcentral.
GACGAACGCUGGCGGCGUGCUUAACACAUGCAAGUCGAACGGAAAGGCCCUGCUUUUGUGGGGUGCUCGAGUGGCGAACGUGUGAGUAACACGUGAGUAACCUGCCCUUGACUUUGGGAUAACUUCAGGAAACUGUGGCUAAUACCGGAUAGGAUCUCCUGCUGCAUGGUGGGGGUUGGAAAGUUUCGGCGGUUGGGGAUGGACUCGCGGCUUAUCAGCUUGUUGGUGGGGUAGUGGCUUACCACGGCUUUGAAGGGUAGCCGGCCUGAGAGGGUGACCGGCCACAGUGGGACUGAGAUACGGCCCAGAAUCGAACGGGAGGCAGAAGUGGGGAAUAUUGCAAAAUGGGCGGAAGCCUGAUGCAGCAACGACGCGUGCGGGAUGACGGCCUUCGGGUUGUAAACCGCUUUCGCCUGUGACGAAGCGUGAGUGACGGUAAUGGGUAAAGAAGCACCGGCUAACUACGUG